RNAcentral lists this ribosomal RNA (1406 nucleotides) under uncultured bacterium. RNAcentral's name for it is "bacterial SSU rRNA". It matches the Rfam family "Bacterial small subunit ribosomal RNA". The record is from RNAcentral.
UUAGAGUUUGAUCCUGGCUCAGGAUGAACGCUAGCGGCAGGCUUAACACAUGCAAGUCGAGGGGCAUCGGGAGGGAAGCUUGCUUUCCUUGCCGGCGACCGGCGCACGGGUGAGUAACACGUAUGCAACCUGCCCUCUUCAGGGGGACAACCUUCCGAAAGGGAGGCUAAUCCCGCGUAUAUCGGUUUCGGGCAUCCGAGAUCGAGGAAAGAUUCAUCGGAAGAGGAUGGGCAUGCGGCGCAUUAGCUAGACGGCGGGGUAACGGCCCACCGUGGCGACGAUGCGUAGGGGUUCUGAGAGGAAGGUCCCCCACACUGGUACUGAGACACGGACCAGACUCCUACGGGAGGCAGCAGUGAGGAAUAUUGGUCAAUGGGAGAGAUCCUGAACCAGCCAAGCCGCGUGAGGGAAGACGGCCCUAUGGGUUGUAAACCUCUUUUGUCGGAGAACAAAACCCGGGACGAGUCCCGGACUGCGUGUAUCCGAAGAAAAAGCAUCGGCUAACUCCGUGCCAGCAGCCGCGGUAAUACGGAGGAUGCGAGCGUUAUCCGGAUUUAUUGGGUUUAAAGGGUGCGUAGGCGGUCCGUUAAGUCAGCGGUAAAAUUGCGGGGCUCAACCCCGUCGAGCCGUUGAAACUGGCAGACUUGAGUUGGCGAGAAGUACGCGGAAUGCGCGGUGUAGCGGUGAAAUGCAUAGAUAUCGCGCAGAACUCCGAUUGCGAAGGCAGCGUACCGGCGCCACACUGACGCUGAGGCACGAAAGCGUGGGGAUCGAACAGGAUUAGAUACCCUGGUAGUCCACGCCGUAAACGAUGAAUGCUAAGUUGUUGGAGGGUGUCCGCCCUUCAGUGCUGCAGCUAACGCAAUAAGCAUUCCGCCUGGGGAGUACGACCGCAAGGUUGAAACUCAAAGGAAUUGACGAGGACCCGCACAAGCGGUGGAGCAUGUGGUUUAAUUCGAAGCAACGCGAAGAACCUUACCAGGCCUUGACAUCUUGCUGACGGCAUAUGCAAUGUAUGUUCCCUCCGGGGCAGCAGAGACAGGUGGUGCAUGGUUGUCGUCAGCUCGUGUCGUGAGAUGUUGGGUUAAGUCCCGCAACGAGCGCAACCCCUGCCCCCAGUAGCCAGCGCGCAAGGGCGGGCACUCUGGGGGGACUGCCAGGGACAACCUGGAGGAAGGCGGGGAUGACGUCAAAUCAUCAUGCCCCUUAUGGCCUGGGCUACACACGUGCUACAAUGGCGCCCACAAAGGGAGGCGAAAUGGCGACAUGGAGCAAACCCCAGAAAAGGCGCCCCAGUUCGGAUUGCAGCCUGCAACUCGGCUGCAUGAAGCCGGAAUCGCUAGUAAUCGCGGAUCAGAAUGCCGCGGUGAAUACGUUCCCGGGUCUUGUACACACCGCCCGUCAAG